Non-coding RNA from Caenorhabditis elegans, 539 nucleotides. The record is from Ensembl. Lineage: Eukaryota; Metazoa; Nematoda; Chromadorea; Rhabditida; Rhabditidae.
CCCAUUGUUCGCAGGUUUUAUAGCGAUACGACACUGCCAUAUAUAUUUCACUGGGGAUAUCGGUUCGAAUCGCUGUUGUUUAGGGAUGUUACCAGUUUUGCAUGUUUUCCGUUUUUUUUUUCGAGCAAAUUUUAUGUCAAUUUCCGUUUCUUCAGACUUUUUUGCCUUUUUGUUCAAAUUUUGCACCCGAACCAAUCUUACCUACAAAAGUGCGAAAUUCAAAAAAAUCUGACAUCUCAAAUUGUCUGUCCUUUUAACCACGCGUCCAGCUAUUCUAAACAUAAGUUUUCGGGUGAAGGAAUUUUGGCCAGAUUCUAUUUCUUUAACAAUACUUUUUUCAGGAGGUUUGUAACCGGAAUUCCGUAUUCAAGGAAAGGUCUUAUAAAUGUUUUAAAUAGAAAUACCAUUAACUUUAUGUUGUUUGAAUGAAACGAUUUGAAAACAUUAUAACUGGAAUAUUUUGCCUUAUUUAUCGAUUUUUGCCAGUGUUCUUCAAAAUUCAAUUUAUUAUUAAUGAAGAAUCCGAGGUUCCUCACUAA